This 201-nucleotide ribosomal RNA is filed under the name uncultured bacterium. RNAcentral describes it as "partial 16S ribosomal RNA". It matches the Rfam family "Bacterial small subunit ribosomal RNA", at positions 524 to 719 of the family's 1533-position model. The record is from RNAcentral.
UACGAAGGGCUAGCGUUGCUCGGAUUGACUGGGCGUAAAGGGCGCGUAGGCGGUUCGUACAGUCAGACGUGAAAAUUCCUGGGCUCAACCUGGGCUGCGUUUUGAUACUGCGGACUUGAGUGCGGAAGAGGGUCGUGGAAAUUUCCCAGUGUAGAGGUGAAAAUUCGUAGAUAUUUGGGGAAAGAAACACCCGGUGGCGAA